UCGAAUUUUAAAUCGUUGAAAACUAAAAAAAGAAAAAAAGACAACAAACACAAUACAAAAUGGAGAGAAAAAUGGAGAGACCAGAAAUUGGUGGCCUUAAACACACGCAAGUCGAAAUGAACUGGCAUUAUAGUAUUGCGGAUUCGCGGGGGUCCCGAAAUAAUUCCGUUAAUGUCGACCGGGGCAGAUCCAACUACAGCUCCAGUCUUAUUUCUGCAACCAAGGCGCCGCAACAAGGUGGAUUAAACUGGAAAAUCUGAAACAAAUUGUUCGAAAAAUGCUGGAAGUCCAGAAGGAGCAGCAGGAUGACCACCAGCAAUCAAAGCGAGAGAUACUUCAAUUGCGAGCAUCCAAGGCCAAACCAACUUCCAACAGAGCUUCUGAAAUUUUUAAGGGAGUCCUAAGAGUAACGUUUAUUGUAUAUAUAUGGCCGAAUCUAAACGUUGCCGAAUCGGGUUGAAACAUUUAUUUUAUUGUUUUAUAACAAAAGGAACAUUUUUUAGACCCUGAGACCUUUGAAAACUAAACUUUUAUAAAUAAGCGCAACCUUAAUACGCGAUAAGUUGGUUUACAUAUGCUAAUAAAUUGUGAAUAUAAUUCAA
This is a long non-coding RNA of Drosophila miranda, 602 nucleotides long. RefSeq lists it as uncharacterized. The record is from RefSeq and is a predicted model, not a curated record. Lineage: Eukaryota; Metazoa; Arthropoda; Insecta; Diptera; Drosophilidae. The transcript has 2 exons.